This 462-nucleotide ribosomal RNA is filed under the name uncultured bacterium. RNAcentral's name for it is "partial 16S ribosomal RNA". It matches the Rfam family "Bacterial small subunit ribosomal RNA", at positions 28 to 507 of the family's 1533-position model. The record is from RNAcentral.
GACGAACGCUGGCGGCGUGCUUAACACAUGCAAGUCGAACGGAAAGGCCCUUCGGGGUACUCGAGUGGCGAACGGGUGAGUAACACGUGGGUGAUCUGCCCUGCACUUUGGGAUAAGCCUGGGAAACUGGGUCUAAUACCGAAUAGGACCGCGCGCUUCAUGGUGUGUGGUGGAAAGCUUUUGCGGUGUGGGAUGGGCCCGCGGCCUAUCAGCUUGUUGGUGGGGUAAUGGCCUACCAAGGCGACGACGGGUAGCCGGCCUGAGAGGGUGACCGGCCACACUGGGACUGAGAUACGGCCCAGACUCCUACGGGAGGCAGCAGUGGGGAAUAUUGCACAAUGGGCGCAAGCCUGAUGCAGCGACGCCGCGUGAGGGAUGACGGCCUUCGGGUUGUAAACCUCUUUCACCAGGGACGAAGCGCAAGUGACGGUACCUGGAGAAGAAGCACCGGCCAACUACGUG